AUGGCAACACGUGAUGCAUGCCCGCUUUGUGGGUCUCCUGAUUCAUGGCGGCACGCCCUUGUGUCAUGCACGUUAGCCCGCUACACCUGGGCUUUAUCUGAACCGGGCAUGGUGUCACACAUGGCGGCGAUCGAGGAGCCCAGUGCUAAGAACUGGCUGUUUAGGCUCCAUGAGGUUCUUGAUAAGCAAUCUUUCACCAGAAUGAUUGUGACGUUGUGGGCGAUUUGGUACGCCAGAAGGAAGGAGAGGCAAGUACAUGCAGCAGUACCGCAAGGAAGAGCUAACUAGCGUCCAUCACCGGUGGGUGUUAUGAAGAUCAAUGUGGACGGGGCUGUUGGGCGCCAUAGACGUGGCGGGGCUGUUUCAGCGGUGUGUCGAGACCACACGGGAGCAUAUUUGGGCUCCUCAGCGGCUGUUUAUCAUGGCAUAACGGAUCCGACAACCCUGGAGACACUUGCAUGUAGGGAGGCUCUUGCACUAGCAGAGGAUCUUCAGGUGACAAACAUGAUGAUUGCCUCGGAUUGCAAAGGAGUGGUACAGGAUAUAAAUGAAGGAUCCGGUGGGGCGCACUCGGCCAUUGUACAUGAAAUAUCACUUCGGAGAAGUUUUUUCAAUUCGGUUGUUUAUGUUUUCGAGCGUAGAAAUCAUAAUUUCGAGGCUCAUAAUCUUGCCAAAUUCGCUUGUAAUUUAGGAGUUGGUAGGCAUGUUUGGUUGGGAACUCCCCAUGACCAACGCCGUGUACCCAUGAACAUUGUUAUUAUAUAA
RNAcentral lists this ribosomal RNA (765 nucleotides) under Triticum aestivum (bread wheat). Its description in RNAcentral is "partial small subunit ribosomal RNA". Lineage: Eukaryota; Viridiplantae; Streptophyta; Magnoliopsida; Poales; Poaceae. The record is from RNAcentral.